This 490-nucleotide ribosomal RNA is filed under the name uncultured bacterium. RNAcentral's name for it is "bacterial SSU rRNA". It matches the Rfam family "Bacterial small subunit ribosomal RNA", at positions 900 to 1382 of the family's 1533-position model. The record is from RNAcentral.
CUUAAAGGAAUUGACGGGGGCCCGCACAAGCGGUGGAGCAUGUGGUUUAAUUCGAAGCAACGCGAAGAACCUUACCAGGCCUUGACAUGCAGAGAACUUUUCCAGAGAUGGAUUGGUGCCUUCGGGAACUCUGACACAGGUGCUGCAUGGCUGUCGUCAGCUCGUGCUGUGAAGUGUUGGGUUAAGUCCCGCAACGAGCGCCAACCCCUUUCCUUAGUUGCCAUCAGGUAAUGCGUGGGGACUCUAAGGAUACUCGCCCCGGGUUAACGGGGAGGAAGGGUGGGGAUGACGUCAAGUCAGUAUGUCCCUUACGUCCAGGGCUACACACGUGUUACAAUGGCCGGUACAAUGAGUUGCCGACCCUGCAAAGGUAAGCCAAUCUCAAAAAACCGGUCUCAGUUCGGAUUGCAGUCUGCAACUCGACUGCAUGAAGUUGGAAUCGCUAGUAAUCGUAGAUCAGCACGCUACGGUGAAUACGUUCCCGGGCCUU